This 429-nucleotide ribosomal RNA is filed under the name Acidobacteriota bacterium. Its description in RNAcentral is "Acidobacteria bacterium partial 16S ribosomal RNA". It matches the Rfam family "Bacterial small subunit ribosomal RNA", at positions 355 to 776 of the family's 1533-position model. Lineage: Bacteria; Pseudomonadati; Acidobacteriota. The record is from RNAcentral.
UGGGGAAUUUUGGACAAUGGGGGAAACCCUGAUCCAGCCAUCCCGCGUGUGCGAUGAAGGCCUUCGGGUUGUAAAGCACUUUUGGCAGGAAAGAAACGUCAUGGGUUAAUACCCCGUGAAACUGACGGUACCUGCAGAAUAAGCACCGGCUAACUACGUGCCAGCAGCCGCGGUAAUACGUAGGGUGCAAGCGUUAAUCGGAAUUACUGGGCGUAAAGCGUGCGCAGGCGGUUCGGAAAGAAAGAUGGGAAAUCCCAGAGCUCAACUUUGGAACUGCAUUUUUAACUACCGGGCUAGAGUGUGUCAGAGGGAGGUGGAAUUCCGAGUGUAGCAGUGAAAUGCGUAGAUAUGCGGAGGAACACCGAUGGCGAAGGCAGCCUCCUGGGAUAACACUGACGCUCAUGCACGAAAGCGUGGGGAGCAAACAGG